AUGUCACGCCACAGCACACUGCCCAGGGCGCCAGUGCUUGGCUCUGGGACAGACCCAGGGAGCCGCAGCUCGCAGCUGCUGCUGGCGCAGGGAGACGUGCAGGGCCCAGGCUCUCCCUGUACCUGCAGCCUGACUUCUUGCUGUCUCCCGUCCUCUGCUCCGGUGGGAUUUUGUUUUCAUUCCUCUCCGUCUCCGUUUCCCACCGUGCUCUGGCACAGACAGAAGCAGAGAAGCCCUGUAACUCGAAUCACAAUCACCUUGACAUUUUGUUCCAGAAUUAGAAUGUUCCCGAGGCUUCUGCCGGAGAGAAAGACAACCCCCUGGGAUGUGCUUUGCCAGGUGGCCUCGGCUGCGCCCAGGGACCUGUUCCAUUUGGGGCUAGAGAUGGAUUCCGCAAGUGCCUACUGCGUCCCAGGCUUGGGGUUAGGUUCCGAGCAGAGGAAUGAAGGCAGGCAGGGGAGACGUGUUAAUAGAUUCCUGGUUCUUUGUAAAGAAUGCACUUCCUGGGAUUGGUUGGAGCUAUGUCCUGUACAUCUGGGCAGAUGGCAAUGAAUGAAACAACUCUUUCCUAGCUGAGAAGUACUGGUGCUCUCGGAGGUUUAACAAACUGUUUGAGAACUCUGUAGCCGCGACACCACGUGUACCAGGAGAGGAAUCUGGAGAACGCGUCGACCUCUUGCUCCUGGUCUCAGAGCCGAAUCUGAUGCGCUCUUGUGUGUUUUUCUGUAACCAGACACUGUUGUGAUUAACCCUGUAAUUUUUUCAACUUCAUCUGAACUUUUUAAUAAACCUAUUCAUUAUUUUCUCA
This 808-nucleotide long non-coding RNA is filed under the name Oryctolagus cuniculus (rabbit). RNAcentral describes it as "lncRNA (ENSOCUG00000031309.1)". Lineage: Eukaryota; Metazoa; Chordata; Mammalia; Lagomorpha; Leporidae. The record is from RNAcentral.